This is a long non-coding RNA of Cygnus olor (mute swan), 2837 nucleotides long. RefSeq lists it as uncharacterized. NCBI's taxonomy places the organism in Eukaryota, Metazoa, Chordata, Aves, Anseriformes, Anatidae. The transcript has 3 exons. The record is from RefSeq and is a predicted model, not a curated record.
AGCCAUUCAAUGAGUAACUCCAGAAUCCUUUUUUGACCUUUUCUCUUUGAAGGAAGAACGUUUCCUUGAAUAAUUUCACCGUGCAGAUUACCGAGCGGAUGGUGUUCUUCUGCGUCGUGUAGGGUGGGCGGUUUAUGCGGUGCAGAAGCAGUUCCCUCGGCACGGUCGCCCAGGCAGGGAGCAGCGGGUGUCAGAGCCGGUACCCCGCCUGGCACAGCCUUCUACAGCUGGAGGUGAAAUAACUAAAAAUUGUAACAGGUAUUUUGAGCUCUCUGAGGGGCCAGCUGCAGAGGACACCUCCUAUAUACAGUCAGUACACUUUGUCAGCGGAUUUCUCAUCCUCCCCGCUUCUCUCCACAUGACAGUAGCAGAGAUGGAGGCCGAAGGCCUUUCGAAGCUUGGAGAUCCUUGGCACAGCUGCCAUAUGCUCAGUCUGACUUCCAGCUGCACAGAAGAAAUACUUGUGAAGACAAAGGUGAAAAAGAGAUGGCUAGGUGAGCACCUUCCUAGUCUUCUCGGUGUUUUUAAGUGGCAUAUAUGUCAGCUUCACCUCCUCUGAUCAAUUCAUUGCCCAUCUGGAAGAUGCUAAAGCAAUUCCCCCGUGAUGUUUUACUUUGUAUUAAAGGGAAGAACCGAUGAAGCACAGGAGGAAAGGAGCUAGGGGAGCGCAGGAGGAAAACCUGUGAACACAAAUCUUAUAUGAAGCUGUGCUGAGUUCUCUUUCCUAUCUUCCAAAAGAUUGGGCAGGAACAGAUGGCGACCCCUUCUGCUCUGCUUACAGGCCCUUUUCACUGUACUUAAAAGAGCCUGUAGCUGUGUCCGAAAACAUACGGAAGACAGAACAUAGUGGAAAAUCCUGAACUUUCAGCAUAAAAAGAAUUUAAAAUACAUGCAUACAGGACUCCUCAGUGUGCAGAUCUCACAGAAGUGGCUUGGGUCUUUGCUAUAAAGGAACAGCAAACAGUAGGAAACAGUUCUUUCAAAGUAUUUUUCAGCAGUCAUAGGUACUUCAGCUUUCAUUCCUUUCUUGUCCAGAGCCUGUUUCAAGAAAAUUUCGUACGUGUCCUGGUGGUCAUAGUGUAAAUAGCUAAAAAUAUGAUACACCCUUCACAGGUGAAGAAACAGCUCAUUACACUGAAGAACAAGCAGGCUUAAAGGGGAACGCAGAUCUCAACAGAAAAAAUCUCCAACCUUCCCUCUUCGAUCUCAUAAUCAAUGGCAAGUGGAACAGCGUGGUACAAGUGCAAACAUCGCUGCAGCAACCACAAAAGCAUGGCUGGGGGAAAUCAAAGUUGUGAAUGUAUGAUUAGUGUCACCACACUGAAGGGGUAUGUCAACAGGGCAGCAGAAGAACGGACGAAAAAAAGGAAAGGCUCGUUUCCCUCAACACCCUUUUUGGUUGGGCCUGUAGAAAACACCAGUUCAUUUACUACAAAACCGCUUGCGGUAACCAAAAAAGAGGAACUCUCUUUGUGGUUGAAAAUGGUUUUUGAGCUGUGAAGAUACAAGUUCUCUUUUUUUAAGUAAACCGCAUCGUUUUUCUCUGCAUAGAUCUCAUUUAAGAGAACUGGGUAUAAAUCAUUGCUGAACCAAUGACAAAUAGCAUAUUAACUAUUUUACCCACAAGUUCAUUCACUUCUACUCCCUGUGCACCGAACUUUUAAAAGUUUAGGAAUUGCAGCCUUCUGUGGAGGUAACUGAAUCAUCUGUUAAGUUACAGCUCAGUUCAGGUUCAGUUGCUGUAUUUCCUUUCUCACAGAGAUUUCGUAUGAUCUGUUUUAGGCGGAUAACAGCCUGGAAUAAAGAGAAUCUGGAAUCUGUGUGUUUUUUUUUUUUUUUUCCUCUAUAUUGUAUUUAUAUCCUAUAAUUUUCAGACACAGAAGGACAUGAAGUAGCCACAGAUGUUGCAAAGUAGACAAUUAAUUAGUAAAGCCUCUGCUGACUCCUUAUGAAUAUGGAACUGUAGUGUCAGUAGGAAGAAUCCUCUCCCUUUGUGGGCUGGCUGGCAGAAGAGCGUCCUCGCUGCUAGAGUGAGCAGACUGAAGCCUGAGAACCAAUGCAGUAGGACAAUAAGUUCUUUCAUUUCUUGCACGAAUGCUGUCUUGGGUGCCAGCUAGAACUUUUUCUUUCCCUGUAGUGCCUGUUACUCGUCUUUGUUUGCUGUAUCUUCUCUAGCCCUUGUUUUCAACCUCAGACUGUUUACUUGAGAAUGAAGGAAUGCAAUUUGCGCCCUUCUGUUUUGCUCAGCAGAGGAUAACAUUGAUUUUGCUUUGGAUGUAGAAUUGUAUUUUGAAUAUAUUGAUAUAAGAUACUGAUGUGUUUUUUUGUUUUGUUUUGUUUUUAACUUUGAAAUCAGUUAUAGGAUUCUCUUCACAGGCUCCUCUACAAUUCUUUAAACGCCUGAAGCAUUGGACUGUAUUACUCUCCUUUCCAGGACUGUGUGGAAGAGAGACCAAACUGGAAUGUGAGGCAUCUUCUCUCUCCUCUUAAUACUUCUUUAUUAUGCAAGUAUGUUGAUCAUUGUCUGCAGUAACAGUGGAACAAUUCUGUAGCUGCUCUGCAAAUUAGAAGAAAACGUUUUCUUUCCCCAGUCCAGCUGUCAUCAUAGCUCAUCUUCAAAAUUGUAUACCACAGGGUUUGUUGAAACACUCUUUUUAUUCUCCUUGCCUGGCUUAUACCUUAGUGUGAUUCCUGAGUUUUACACCCAGCAAUAAACAUGAGCGGAGUAUAUGAGUUGAUUUUGAUUUACCUGCAGGUAUUAAAAGGAACUUUCACUCCUUCCUCCAAGUUUCCUGACAGCUUUUAAAUUCAGUGUAAUGAAAUCUCCCUCCAGCCAU